CUAGGCCUUUUCUCUGCGGCCUUCGUGGCUUUCUUUAAGGCCUGCCGGGGUCGUUCCAUCUUCUGUGGCCCGCCGGGGCUGUUCCAUCUUCUGUGGCCCACCGGGGCCUUUUCUGCGGCCUAUCGUGGCCUCUCUCUCACUGUCUGGCCUAUCGUGGCCUCUCUCUCACUGUCUGGCCUAUCGUGGCCUCUCUCUCACUGUCUGGCCUAUCGUGGCCUCUCUCUCUCACCGUCUGGCCUAUCGUGGCCUCUCUCUCUCACCGUCCGGCCUAUCGUGGCCUCUCUCUCUCACUGUCCGGCCUAUCGUGCCCUGCCCCUCUCUCUCACUGUCCGGCCUACCGUGGCCUGCCUCUCUCUCUCUCUCUCUCUCUCUCACUGUCCGGGCCUAUCGUGGCCUGCCUCUCUCUCUCACUGUCCGGCCUAUCGUGGCCUGCCUCUCUCUCUCCCUGUCCGGCCUAUCGUGGCCUGCCUCUCUCUCUCUCUCACUGUCCGGCCUAUCGUAGCCUGCCUCUCUCUCUCUCUCACUGUCCGGCCUAUCGUGGCCUGCCUCUCUCUCUCUCACUGUCCGGCCUAUCGUGGCCUGCCUCUCUCUCUAUAAGCUAAUACUUUAGCUAUAAUCUGAUGUUGUAUUCUUAUGUUUGGCUAAUUAUCUCAAUUUAUCUCUUUCGUUCUUGUUCCAAGAUCCUCUAAGAAAUACUUAACCCUCUGAAGUCGAUUAACGCGUAUACGCGUUUUGGGGUAUUUUCUCCUGAUAACCCCGAAAAGAACUUAAAUUACACUUUCAGUUUUGAUUGUACAGAUAAGAGCAAUACAGCAAUCGAAUCUGUAAAGGGUCUACUUUUUUUUGUAUACAGACAUAAUAACAACAAAACCUUGUGCACUUAUAAAAUAAAGAUAACAAACAAGGAGUGCUGUCUGCA
Cyprinus carpio (common carp) is the source of this 919-nucleotide long non-coding RNA. The record is from Ensembl. NCBI's taxonomy places the organism in Eukaryota, Metazoa, Chordata, Actinopteri, Cypriniformes, Cyprinidae.